UGUUGUCCAGCAUUUAAGUGGGGACGUCAGAUGAGACUGCCGGUGACAAACCGGAGGAAGGUGGGGACGGACGUCAAGUCAUCAUGGCCCUUAUGUCCUGGGCUACACACGUGCUACAAUGGCCGGUACAGAGUGAAGCGAAACCGCGAGGUGAAGCAAAACGCAGAAAGCCGGUCUCAGUACGGAUUGGAGUCUGAAACUCGACUUCAUGAAGUUGGAAUCGCUAGUAAUCGCGCAUCAGCAUGGCGCGGUGAAUACGUUCCCGGGCCUU
RNAcentral lists this ribosomal RNA (271 nucleotides) under uncultured Spirochaeta sp. RNAcentral's name for it is "partial 16S ribosomal RNA". It matches the Rfam family "Bacterial small subunit ribosomal RNA", at positions 1113 to 1382 of the family's 1533-position model. The record is from RNAcentral. Lineage: Bacteria; Pseudomonadati; Spirochaetota; Spirochaetia; Spirochaetales; Spirochaetaceae.